Non-coding RNA from Vicia faba (fava bean), 315 nucleotides. Lineage: Eukaryota; Viridiplantae; Streptophyta; Magnoliopsida; Fabales; Fabaceae. The record is from the annotation of a GenBank genome assembly.
AUGGAGAAAUUUGAAAUGUUAGUAUCUCUUUUGAGAAGAGAGGAAAGGAUCAUGCUGGACUAUAUUUUUCUGAAUGGAUUAAAAGAAGAGAUUCAAGCUGAGCUUAAACUCCAUGAGAGUCAAAGCCUAGCAGAACUGAUGUACAUGGUCUUAAUAAUUGAAGAAAAAAAUGAAGUGUUGCAGAAGAAGGGUGGCUCUUGGAGAGAUAGAGGAGGACUCGGAAAGCUCAAAGAUCUUGUAGAAAUUGGAGGAUCUAAGAAGGAAUGGGAAAGAGUUAGUAGUGGGGGAAAUGAGAGAUACAAGGGCAGGAUAUAA